This 80-nucleotide transfer RNA is filed under the name Perkinsus marinus ATCC 50983. It matches the Rfam family "tRNA". From Rfam's summary of the family: Transfer RNA (tRNA) molecules are approximately 80 nucleotides in length. Their secondary structure includes four short double-helical elements and three loops (D, anti-codon, and T loops). Lineage: Eukaryota; Perkinsozoa; Perkinsida; Perkinsidae. The record is from Rfam by way of RNAcentral.
GACAGUUUGGCCGAGUGGUCCAAGGCGCUGGCUUAAGGCGUCAGUCCGCUAGGGCGUGGGUUCGAAUCUCACAGCUGUCA